CUACGGGAGGCAGCAGUGAGGAAUAUUGCACAAUGGGGGCAACCCUGAUGCAGCAACGCCGCGUGAGUGAUGACUCGGUUUAUCCGUGUAAAGCUCUGUUGUUAGGGAAGAAUUGUUGGAUUAGUAGUCCAAAAUAGACUGUACCUAAUCAGAAAGCUCCGGCUAACUCCGUGCCAGCAGCCGCGGUAAUACGGAGGGAGCGAACGUUGUCCGGAUUUAUUGGGCGUAAAGGGCACGUAGGUGGAUCCUUAAGUCAGUUGUUAAAUUUUACAGCUUAACUGUAUUGUGCAAUUGAUACUGGGGAUCUCGAGUUCGAGAGGGGAUGGUAGAAUGUCAAGUGUAGCGGUGGAAUGCGUAGAUAUUUGAUAGAAUACCUGAGGCGAAGGCGACCAUCUGGCUCGAUACUGACACUGAUGUGCGAAAGCAUGGGUAGCGAACAGGAUUAGAUACCCUGGUAGUC
Molecule: ribosomal RNA, 460 nt
Filed under: uncultured bacterium
Lineage: Bacteria
Description: partial 16S ribosomal RNA
Rfam family: Bacterial small subunit ribosomal RNA
Source: RNAcentral